ACUCCUACGGGAGGCAGCAGUGGGGAAUAUUGCACAAUGGGGGGAAACCCUGAUGCAGCCAUGCCGCGUGUGUGAAGAAGGCCUUCGGGUUGUAAAGCACUUUCAGUAGGGAGGAAGGUAGUGUAGUUAACACCUGCAUUAUUUGACGUUACCUACAGAAGAAGCACCGGCUAACUCCGUGCCAGCAGCCGCGGUAAUACGGAGGGUGCGAGCGUUAAUCGGAAUUACUGGGCGUAAAGCGCAUGCAGGCGGCCUGUUAAGUCAGAUGUGAAAGCCCGGGGCUUAACCUCGGAAUUGCAUUUGAAACUGGCAGGCUAGAGUCUUGUAGAGGGGGGUAGAAUUUCAGGUGUAGCGGUGAAAUGCGUAGAGAUCUGAAAGGAAUACCAGUGGCGAAGGCGGCCCCCCUGGACAAAAGACUGACGCUCAGAUGCGAAAGCGUGGGGAGCAAAACAGGAUUAGACACCCUGGUAGCACAGAG
This 478-nucleotide ribosomal RNA is filed under the name uncultured bacterium. Its description in RNAcentral is "bacterial SSU rRNA". It matches the Rfam family "Bacterial small subunit ribosomal RNA", at positions 335 to 799 of the family's 1533-position model. The record is from RNAcentral.